CAGCAGCCAUAACCCCUACAAUAUGUUGAUUGGUAGGGAUGUAUUUCAAAUCUGUAGAUAUGGAUACAGCAGCUAACAGCAAUUGAGCACAAGACCAAUCUGUACUACUGACACCAGCUGCUUGGCCCAACAAGUUCAACCAACCGACGACCCAGGCGACAACGGGCAUUGAUCUGGCAGGAACUAGGUCCUUGCAAGUAAAAUAUAAACCACCGGAUGUUGGGUAAGCAGAAACUAGCUCGGCAACGGAUAGAGCGAUACACAUACAACCAGCACCAGCAAUUAACCAACACCAAACAGCUGAUGGAGCACCUCCUGAAAUCAAGGGAUAUGAAUAUGUUGUGACGACAGUAGCGAAAAGCCCAGAAAUUGAAAAAGCAAAAGAAAAAGUGGCCCAGGUAGAAAAUUCUCUUUUAAAGACAGGUUUGUAGCCCAAUUCAAGAAGUUGGUUGUCUUCAUCGUUGCUGACUUCGAAAUCGGUUUCAGAAUGGGAAACAUGUUUUAAGGAUUUUAAAUUACUAAAACCUUCUUCCUUGUCAUUGAACUUUCCUUGUUCAUUAACGCUUACGUUAGAAACCGAAUCCAUACUAUAAUUUAUUUAUCCACUUUAACGUUCAAAUAUGCUUAUCAAAAAUUCGACGUAUUUUCCUUUUUCACCUUUUUUUACUAAAAAACCGAAAAACAAAACAAACAAACAAAAAUGUAAAAAGUCAAAGUUUCUUCGCAAAAGAAGAGAUUAUAUACGACUUUCAAUUUCACCCUUUGGACGACUCCAAAUUGAUUUAAAGAAAAAGAAAUUUGCUCUAAAAAGAAAAAAUCUCUUCUGAAAUAAUCGCUAUAUCUCAAAUUGACCUAUAUAUGAGACUUUUUAUUUCAAGGUGAAAAUAUUGGCGGAGACUGGCAUGAGAUUUUUCUAUCUGUCGUUAAAGCAAUUUUGGCUACCACGUGCGCGAAUUAUCAACAAAUUUUUUAUAUACUCUUUUAGCAAGAUUCUUUAGUUUGUUAUCUGCUUCGUAGAAUGCGUAGGCAAACACUUCAAUUAUUCAUUGUUUUGGCAACACAUUUGCAUUAAUGAAAUACCUAACUAGUUAUGCCAAUUAGUCUGCUAAACCAUUUUUUGUUUCUCUCGGGUACCAGAUAUUCGCUACAGAUGCAUAACUCGGACUCUAUCUCUUUAAAUUUUAACUUUUUAGACAACUUUGGCCUACGAAGAAUCGUUCACGAUUGUUGAAAAAAGUUGUUGGAAGUUAAUAUUACGUUGAGCAUAUUUGAUUUGGAGGUGGAACAGAACAACUGGAAUUUUUGAAAAACUAAGUAUAUAAAAAUACAUGUGAUAGUGUGAAAUUUUGUUUAAAUAGGUUUGAAAAGUGUUUGGGCAGCAUUGACAAGUUUGGUCCUUUAAAAGCUUUAAAUUGAGUACAACCACAAACACUUCUUUGAUAAAAAAAGAGAAGCCAAAAGCAUCACAUUUCGCUGAAGUGUCCUUUUCUAUAGUUCGUUGGAAAUGAUUAUCCUAAUGGAACAAUAUGUAUUAAUUUGCAAUUAUUUUUAUAAUAUUCGCUGGCAUCAUGAAGUAAUAUCAGUUUUGAAGGCGCUCCAUGUAAAUUUUAUACCCAGCAAAAACCUUGAAGUCCAAAUAUUCAUACAUUAAGUAUUUACGGAAGCUUUUCUAUUACUAUUCUUCAAAAAAAUCUAUACAUUUUUGAAAGAUCAUCAAAUAUUUAUGAAUAUAUCUAUGUAUAUUUCAAAGACUUUCAAAUUACUCAAUAAAUUGUCAAAAGCCG
Schizosaccharomyces pombe (fission yeast) is the source of this 1784-nucleotide non-coding RNA. The record is from the annotation of a GenBank genome assembly. Lineage: Eukaryota; Fungi; Ascomycota; Schizosaccharomycetes; Schizosaccharomycetales; Schizosaccharomycetaceae.